UUGCAGCCCAGCAGUGCUGACCAGCUGAUGGAUUGCCAGGACUCUGAUGGAACCAUGCUUGGAGAAAGAGGACUUCACUGCCCCUCACCAUGGAUCGGACUGUUAGAUGAUGAACUUUGUUUUGGAGACUGAACCAUUGCAUAUCUGCAUGAAAAGUACUGUGCUGAGAAUAAAAAGCUUUGAUGCUUGUCCUGUAUCCGUGGGAUCCAUGCAGACCUGAAGCAGGUUUUAGUUCAAGAAAAUGAAGAAAAGACUGAAAUAAAGACAAAAGGAAAUCCUGCA
This 282-nucleotide long non-coding RNA is filed under the name Parus major (Great Tit). RNAcentral describes it as "lncRNA (ENSPMJG00000016093.1)". Lineage: Eukaryota; Metazoa; Chordata; Aves; Passeriformes; Paridae. The record is from RNAcentral.